UACGAAGGGGGCUAGCGUUGCUCGGAAUUACUGGGCGUAAAGCGCACGUAGGCGGAUUUGUAAGUCAGGGGUGAAAUCCCGGGGCUCAACCUCGGAACUGCCUUUGAUACUGCGAGUCUUGAGUCCGAUAGAGGUGGGUGGAAUUCCUAGUGUAGAGGUGAAAUUCGUAGAUAUUAGGAAGAACACCAGUGGCGAAGGCGGCCCACUGGAUCGGUACUGACGCUGAGGUGCGAAAGCGUGGGGAGCGAACAGG
Molecule: ribosomal RNA, 253 nt
Filed under: uncultured bacterium
Lineage: Bacteria
Description: partial 16S ribosomal RNA
Rfam family: Bacterial small subunit ribosomal RNA
Source: RNAcentral